GACGAACGCUGGCGGCGUGCCUAAUACAUGCAAGUCGAACGAACCGCGACUAAGUGCUUGCACUAAGUCAAGGUGAGUGGCGAACGGGUGAGUAACACGUGGGUAACCUACCUCAUAGUGGGGGAUAACAGUCGGAAACGACUGCUAAUACCGCAUAGGACAUAGGAUCACAUGAUCCAGUGAGGAAAGGUGGCGCAAGCUAUCGCUAAGAGAUGGACCCGCGGUGCAUUAGCUAGUUGGUAGGGUAAAGGCCUACCAAGGCGAUGAUGCAUAGCCGACCUGAGAGGGUGAUCGGCCACAUUGGGACUGAGACACGGCCCAAACUCCUACGGGAGGCGGCAGUAGGGAAUCUUCCGCAAAGGACGCAAGUCUGACGGAGCAACGCCGCGUGAGUGAAGAAGGUCUUCGGAUCGUAAAGCUCUGUUGUUAGAGAAGAACAGCGCAUAGAGUAACUGCUAUGCGUGUGACGGUAUCUAACCAGAAAGCCACGGCUAACUACGUG
This 502-nucleotide ribosomal RNA is filed under the name uncultured bacterium. RNAcentral's name for it is "partial 16S ribosomal RNA". It matches the Rfam family "Bacterial small subunit ribosomal RNA", at positions 28 to 507 of the family's 1533-position model. The record is from RNAcentral.